Molecule: long non-coding RNA, 613 nt
Filed under: Homo sapiens (human)
Lineage: Eukaryota; Metazoa; Chordata; Mammalia; Primates; Hominidae
Description: HSALNT0353024
Source: RNAcentral
UUGUUCCAGGCCCUUUUUUUCUUUGCUGAUUUUACUUUGUAUCCUUUCACUGUAAUAAACCAUAACCGUGAGUACAACCACAAGCUGAGCCCUGUGAGUCCUCCUAGCAAAUCCCUGAAACUGGAAGUGGUCUUGGGGACCCUCAGCACAUUCUCUGCCACCAUGAGACUUUGAUAUGGUGGCAUCUCAGAUUCAGAAUGGAUGGUAGAGCCUACAAGAUAAGACUGGAGGAAAGCCAGAAAAGAUGAAACUCAGAACUCACUUAUCUUCACUUCUUUCUUCUUUCUUUCUUCUCCUUCCUACCAUUGCCUGAGUCUGGAAGGGGGAUCACAUUAUUUACACUGCCACUAUAUCAAAAUUUACUCCCUAAGGCAGCCUUCUCCCCUGCAUACUAAAUAAGGAGAUAAAUGCACUCAAGCAAGCAAGCAUUACCUGGAUUCCACGAGGUGAAAAAUAGCAUGGAGACCAUCACAAAGGAGAUCUGCCUCGAGGAAACUAUCAGACUGGCCCAGGAUGGAGAAUGAAGACAGCAAUUUGCUCUGUUCUCUAAAGCUCUGAUUCAAGUUCUCUAGUCUGCCGAAAAUAAAUAAAUAAAUAAUUUGACAUGAAAGAA